This 61-nucleotide microRNA precursor is filed under the name Pristionchus pacificus. RNAcentral's name for it is "mir-8364 microRNA precursor family". It matches the Rfam family "mir-8364 microRNA precursor family". Lineage: Eukaryota; Metazoa; Nematoda; Chromadorea; Rhabditida; Neodiplogasteridae. The record is from Rfam by way of RNAcentral.
UAUUUAUUUCACGUGCUCUCUCACCGGUCAGAGUGACGAGAGAGUGUGCGAAAUGAAGAGA